GUGCUCGCUUUGGCAGAACAUAUACUAAAAUUGGAACGAUACAGAGAUUAGCAUUGCCUCUGAGCAAGGAUGACACACAAAUUCGUGAAGCACUCCAUAUUAAA
Myotis lucifugus (little brown bat) is the source of this 104-nucleotide small nuclear RNA. The record is from Ensembl. NCBI's taxonomy places the organism in Eukaryota, Metazoa, Chordata, Mammalia, Chiroptera, Vespertilionidae.